ACCAUUCCUCCGUUCCUGUUCUCGUCACGCGCGUCAAUUCCGGCGAAGACCUCGGAAGGGGAAAGGCGUUUCGCGAUUGUUUGAUCAUGUGCUCGGAAUCCUCUUCUCUGGUCUGCGUUUUCUAUUGGUGAGAUUUUUUUCCUCUCCAUGGAGAAGAGCGAGGCGGUUCCUGAUUUCGCGCCGAAGAAAUUGGCGAGGCAAUUGGAUUUCACGGCGGCAGCGGCGUGCCGAGCGUCGGCGAACGUGGUGUUUCCGGAACCGGAGAAAACUCAAGUAGCGGUCGAGUCACAGUCACUGCCCAAGCCGUCACCGUCACAGUCACAAUCACAAGCCCUCCCAUCGCAGUCGCAGCCUCAAAAGCCGACUGUCUCACUAGCGCAAUUGCAGAUAAAGUCACAGCCAAUGUCGUCACAGACGCAGCUCCAAUCGCCGCUGAAGCCGGUGCAGCAACCUUGGAUGAACCAAAGGAUUCCUCAUCCGGUGCACAAGAUUCCGAUACAGACGCCAUUGUCGGUCAGACAAGAAUCUCCCAAAUCACGCCCUGGGAUUGAAGAAAAAGAUGGAACUCCAAAGAAACAAAAGCAAUGCAAAUGUCGAAACUCCCGGUGCCUGAAGUUGUACUGUGAGUGCUUUGCAGCUGGAAUUUAUUGUGAUGGCUGCAACUGCUUGAAUUGCCAUAAUAAUGUGGACAAUGAGACUGCUAGAAAGGAAGCAAUUGGGGCAGUCUUAGAGCGUAAUCCAAGUGCAUUCAGACCAAAGGUUUCUAGCAGUCCACGUGAAUCUCGGGAUGGCAGAGAAGACUUGGGGGACAUCCAAGCUGCUGGAAAGCACAACAAAGGAUGUAACUGCAGGAAAUCUGGGUGUCUGAAGAAGUAUUGUGAGUGCUUCCAAGCCAAUAUUCUGUGCUCUGAAAACUGUAAAUGCGUGGACUGCAAGAAUUUUGAUGGAAGUGAAGAAAGAAAGGCUUUGUUUCAAGAAGAGCAUACCGCAGUCUACAUGCAACAGGCAGCAAAUGCAGCAAUUAAUGGGGCCGUUGGGUCUUCUGGCUAUGGGACUCCUCCGUUAUCCAGAAAAAGAAAAAGCCAUGAAUUGUUUUUUGGUCUUGGAGCCAAAGAUCAACCCAUUCACACGACAGCCAGAGGUCAACAGGGAAACCAACCUACUGCUUCUGUGGCCACUUCUCCUAUGUUAUCAGGCUCUGUUCGUAAGAAUGCAUCGACUUUGGGAUCUUCCAAACUCACCUACAGAUCUCCAUUGGCGGAUGUCCUCCAACCUCAAGAUGUGAAGGACCUCUGCUCACUUUUGAUUGUGGUUUCAGGAGAAGCGGCAAAGACCUUUGCAGAAAGUAGAAAUAAAUCUUCAGUUGCUUCACCCACACAAGGGAGAGGAGAAAGUCAAGAAGAGAAUGGUGUUCAUGAUGCUGUUCGUUCCAAUCCAUUGGAAGAGAAGCAAGCAGAUAAAGAUGGCACAAGUGAUUCUAGGUUAGAUGCAUGUAAUGCACAAAGCGAUGAGCCGAUGUCUCCAGGAACACUUGCAUUGAUGUGUGAUGAAAAAGACACAAUGUUUUUGGCAGCUGGAUUGCCUAAUGGAGGUAUAACACAAAGUGAAAACAUAAAUAAAAACCCAUCUAGUGGGAGCAGCUACACCGAGCUUUAUGCAGAGCAGGAAAACCUUAUCCUGACUGGGUUCUGUAAUUUUCUUAACCGGCUCAUUACUCGUGGGAGCAUGAAAGGCUAAGUUCCCCCGCGGCCAAAGCUUUUCGGGACCGCAUUAGGAAGGGUUGAACAGAUCCUUGCACUCCCCGACUCCAAUCGCAGCUCUUCCGUUCUCAAUAGUCCUGAGAACCAAAGGUUGUACGGUCUGCAAGUCGACCUUCCUCGUCUUUCACUGCCAAUUAUGCCACCACCAGAACUCCUCCAAGGCCCAGCAUCGAAAAUGAAGUAUACUCUGCCUAGCAAGCAGAAGAAAAGCAAGCGCUCUGGCUCCACAAAGUCGACAAGUAAGUCGACUUUUCAAGAUGUCCUAGAUGUUAGGUAACGGUCGAGAAUGGUCAUCACUCCCAUGUCGAAAAGGCUGUGGGUGAGUGAGAAUCCAGGAGCGAUCGCGAUCAAGGGGGCUUCUGGGAGCUCGUGGCAGCUUGACAAGGGCAAGGACGCCGAGGUUGUUGCCAACCUCGCUCUUCUA
Molecule: RNA transcript, 2184 nt
Organism: Morus notabilis
Lineage: Eukaryota; Viridiplantae; Streptophyta; Magnoliopsida; Rosales; Moraceae
Gene name: protein tesmin/TSO1-like CXC 5
Exons: 9
Source: RefSeq, a predicted model, not a curated record